AUCAUGUCACUUUCACUUGUGGCUGGGUUUUUGACGUUGUCAGGGUCCAGUCUUGAGUGACUUUUUGGAAGUCCUUUGAUGGAGAAUAUUUCGCUUCAAUCGGGCUAAACCGUCAUAAAGCCUCUGUCGAAUGAACCAAACGACCCUUGUGCGAAAAACUCUGCUGCACAUUCCUCCUCUGGCGGGCAUGUCCGACUAUUGAUGGUUUCAUUUUGGAGCUACUGUGUGUGACUGACAGGCGCGCACAGAGCGGACUUGGACCAGAGUCCAUUUCCGGGACUGCCCGGGAGCUGAUUGGCUGUCAAGACCAACUUGCCUGGAGGCCGUUUCUUGGCGUGAAGAGCCUUAGGGGGACGAGAGGUGUAGCCGCGGAGCUAGCCGCAAACAAGGAGUUGCCAUUGCUGAUGGCAGGCUACCUACAGUUGUAGUUGAGAGCUGGUUAGUACUGUCCGAAACGCGAAUGACGUGUGACGUUUGAAGCGAUAUGUUGGUGGUCCUGUCCGGAUCACUGAUGUUCUACCUCAGGUCACUGUUCACGAACCAGAGAGUAGAAUAUCUCUUAAAAAUCUCUUGUUUUUUGGACAACCUGAAACCACCUUCUUGAAAAUUAUACAACUAGUUCAGCUAACCGCGGCUAAGCGCGUUCAACUUGUACUACCACCAACUAGUACGGGCGGUAGUUGUUGUAGCUCGCGCCCAGAGCUGAUAAUAUUGGAAAAGUACAUUACUUUGUAGCGUUACAUAUGGAAGAAUUCAA
Molecule: unclassified non-coding RNA, 757 nt
Filed under: Yarrowia lipolytica
Lineage: Eukaryota; Fungi; Ascomycota; Dipodascomycetes; Dipodascales
Source: RNAcentral